This is a non-coding RNA of Microcebus murinus (gray mouse lemur), 485 nucleotides long. The record is from RefSeq and is a predicted model, not a curated record. Lineage: Eukaryota; Metazoa; Chordata; Mammalia; Primates; Cheirogaleidae.
AGCAAUCCUGCCACCUCAGCCUCCCAAGUCACUAGGAUUACAGGAAGCCUAUUAGAGGCUAUGUACAUGGAUCAUUUCCUUCAAAUCUCAUUUCCAGAACUACUAUGUACAAAUUCAGCACAAAUGGAACAGAACAGGAGGUUCCAGCAGGAAGUCAUUACUGUGAUUUGGUGGUAGCAUAUUCAUUGCCAUAUCAUUUGACUGCCAUGGAUACUGUGGAGCAAGGACAUCUGGAAAAAAGAAAGCAGCAGGAUAACAGUUGUAUUUGUAAUCAGUCUAAUUCUUAAUUACUUUUCCCUUUAUGCAAAUAAUUUGAAGUUAACUUUAAGGCUAGGAAAAAAAUACACAUUUUGCCAAAUGAAUGAAGAUCAAAUAUAUCAAGGAAAAGUGUGAUGUUUUAGCAAAUGAGAACCUGUUUUUUUUAAAAAAAAAAAAACUACCCUAUUAAAAAACUCAAAAAAAACAAAAAACAAACAAACAAAAAA